Macaca mulatta (Rhesus monkey) is the source of this 2277-nucleotide non-coding RNA. The record is from RefSeq and is a predicted model, not a curated record. Lineage: Eukaryota; Metazoa; Chordata; Mammalia; Primates; Cercopithecidae.
GUUUGGGGUUGGGGUUGGUGUUAGGGUUAGGGUUAGCAAAUUUCUUCACUUCUCGACCUUUGUUUUUAACUGAGCGGGAAUUAGGAGAGGAGCCUGGUCCUCUCCACACAGCCCAGCUGGUACACCGCCCAUGUGCCUGUGGAGAACAGCAUUCCUGUAGGGCCGACAGGUGUGGACCAAGUAGCUGUGAAAUUUCUUCUGAAGAAAACGCACAAGGAGGACUGGAAUGAGCUCAGUGGAGGAGGGGCACUACCCCAGGGGACAUCCACAUACAUGGACUUGUGAACCCCGAUUAUCUGAGAUGAUCUCAGUCAGUUUAGAAAGUUUAUUUGCCAAGGUUGAGGACGUGCACCCGUGACAGGCUCAGGAGAUCCUGACGACAAGUGCCUAAGGUGGUCAGGGCACAGCUUGGUUUUAGGGAGACAUGAGACAUCAGUCAGUACAUGUCAGAAGUACCUUGCUUCCAUCCAGAAAGGUGGGGACAACUGGAAGCAGGGAGGGGGCUUCCAAGGUCACAGGUAGGUGAGAGACAAAUGUUGCGUUGUUUUGAGUUUCUGGUUAGUCUCUCCAAAGGAGGCGAUCGGAUGUGCACCUAUCUUAGUGAGGAGAUAGGUGAUUUGGAAUAGAAUGAGAGGCAGGUUUGCCUUGAGCCGUUCCCAGCUUGACUUUUCCCUUUAGCUUAGUAAUCUUGGGGCCCCAAGAUUUUCUUUUCACAGAGCCUAUGACUAGAUUUGCAUGUUUAGAUCCUGCGAGGAGGCGGCUACACACAUGCAGAAGUCACACUGGUGGCCUGGACUCCAAAGAGAGAGAAGUGCAUUUGAGAGACAUUUAGGAGGUAGGAUUGCCAGGGCCUUGGUGAUAGCUUGGAUGUGGAGGGCGGAGCAGGAGGGGUGUCAAGCAGAUAUUGCUCUUAGAUUACCACCUGGGAUAUUAGGGAGAGUGAGUGGGCUGUUUUUUCUUUGUUAGGCAGAACUUGGUUUUGUGGUGCAGUAGGGUGCCUCAAACCAAAAGCCUGACUUCCUCCUACAGGCCAGACCCCACAUGGCCGUUCCUGUGACUGCCAGGCCACUUUGAGGCUGAGAGAGGUGAUUUUGUCUGGCCUCUGCCCUGCACGUGUUUACGAAUGACUUCUCUGUGUUGGCAGAUUUGGGGGUCCACCAGAUAGGAUCCUGUGAAGACACCUCAAAGGUCUUUAGUCCAAUUUAUAAAACAUCAUUUUGUUCAUUAUAUCAUUUCCACAAUCAAAGAUGAAUAAAAUAUACAGAGGUUUAUUUAGUGAAUAAGGUUGAUGGUGCACCUGUGCUAGGCAGUGUUUUAGUUCGUUGAGACACCAAGGAGUUGAGACAAUCCUUUACCUUGGAGUUUUGUGUCUGUAAGUCCUGCUGUUGAGAGCUGUGUGUGUUAAAAUGUCUGAUUCAGGCAGGUGAGAUCUGGGCCGUCUGUAAGGUUAGGUGAGAGGAGGUUGGUGUCCAGCAAGUAUCCAGUGCCCCAUCAACAUCCCAGUUCUUGUCCACCAAUCUUCCAGUUCUAGGACUGAUGCGGAGGCCCUCAGAGCGACUUCAGAGGAGAAGUAGUGUGCUCUGUGGCUGUCUGUUUUGGGGUGUAAAUUGUAAAUCCUCUGCAAACAAGAAGUUGGAAACAAGUAGCGUUUCAGCUUGAGUUUCUUGUAAAUGGCUUGCAGUCGUAUGAACCCAGAGCAUGUAUACCACAGGGCAACACGAGGGUCCCUCUAUCACCAUUUCUCCCAGUGGCCUAGGUGGGGAUUUAAACAGAAUAAUGUGUGCAGCCUCAUUGUGUGAAAGUCCAGUACUUUGUGCUUGGAGUGUCAUCAGGGAAGGGCCCCUGACUUUGAAGGCUGCUGCGUCUCGCUCCGUGAUAGGAGGCACAAUGUGGCCUUGGUCUUACGAAGACCUUGGGUGCCACAGCUCACUUCAUCCCUGAUCAGCCUGAUGCAGGUGCUGGGCGCUGGUUCUGGAGGUGAGAAUACACCCUGGGCUUCCACUGCAUGGCUGCCCUGUGAGCAUUCAGGUGCUUGUUUGGGGACUGAUACGGAGUCCUGUGCCAGAUGCAGUGGUGCACACCUGGGAACCAAGCGUCCCUGCUUCUACUAGAGAAGCUGGACAGAUGUAAAAGGUGCAAGCGGAGCCGUGCAGUCCUGACUUCUCAGUGGAGCUAGAGGAGAAUUACGUUAAUGUGUUUGCACUCCUUGCUCAAUUUUUAAAUAUAAAUAUAUUUAAGCAAUGCUUUUUAAUGAGAAUAAAAUAGUUUAACAAUGUU